AGUGAACGCUGGCGGUAGGCCUAACACAUGCAAGUCGAGCGGCAGCACAGUAAGAGCUUGCUCUUACGGGUGGCGAGUGGCGGACGGGUGAGGAAUACAUCGGAAUCUACUUUUUCGUGGGGAUAACGUAGGGAAACUUACGCUAAUACCGCAUACGACCUACGGGUGAAAGCAGGGGAUCUUUGGACCUUGCGCGAUUGAAUGAGCCGAUGUCGGAUUAGCUAGUUGGCGGGGUAAAGGCCCACCAAGGCGACGAUCCGUAGCUGGUCUGAGAGGAUGAUCAGCCACACUGGAACUGAGACACGGUCCAGACUCCUACGGGAGGCAGCAGUGGGGAAUAUUGGACAAUGGGCGCAAGCCUGAUCCAGCCAUACCGCGUGGGUGAAGAAGGCCUUCGGGUUGUAAAGCCCUUUUGUUGGGAAAGAAAAGCAGCAGGUUAAUACCCCGCUGUUCUGACGGUACCCAAAGAAUAAGCACCGGCUAACUUCGUG
Molecule: ribosomal RNA, 491 nt
Filed under: uncultured bacterium
Lineage: Bacteria
Description: partial 16S ribosomal RNA
Rfam family: Bacterial small subunit ribosomal RNA
Source: RNAcentral